This 119-nucleotide ribosomal RNA is filed under the name Pteropus alecto (black flying fox). The record is from RNAcentral. Lineage: Eukaryota; Metazoa; Chordata; Mammalia; Chiroptera; Pteropodidae.
GUCUACUACCAUACUACCCUGAACAAGCCUGAUCCCAUCUGAUCUCAGAAGCUAAUCAGGGUCGGGCCUGGUUAGUACUUGGAUAGGAGACCACCUAGGAAGACCAGAUGCUGCAGGUG